This is a long non-coding RNA of Magnolia sinica, 2330 nucleotides long. RefSeq lists it as uncharacterized. The transcript has 4 exons. The record is from RefSeq and is a predicted model, not a curated record. Lineage: Eukaryota; Viridiplantae; Streptophyta; Magnoliopsida; Magnoliales; Magnoliaceae.
CUCUCUCUCUCUCUCUCUCUCUCUCUCUCUCUCUCUCCAUUCCAUCCUCCCAAAACCGACAACCUAUCUCUCUCACUUUAAAUGCUAGAGGAGAGAGCUCCCCUUUGGAUUUGCAGGAUCCGACGCAGCAGCAUCCAAAACUGCCUGCAGGUUGGCUGGAACACAGCUUGGAGAAGAUCCAACUAGCAGGGGAUUCCAAUUGGAUUUGUGCUUUAAAAUUUUUAUUAUUAUUUAUCAUUAGCACUUUUCUUCAAUAUUCUAUUGUCUAGUUUAGCGUCAAUGUUUUGUCUGCCUUCUUCUUUUCCUAAAUUUAUAACUGGAUAUUGUGAUACGUUGGCAUUAAGGCUUUAGAUGACGAUGACAAUGAAGGACUGGAUUUUGUGACAACUUGAGAAUCUACUUUUAGAGAUUGUUGAAUGAUGAUGCUGUCACAAGAUAGAAUUAGGAGGGGCCUUAGAUCUUGGAAGGUUGGAAAGGCAUAUGUAUUAUCAUACAUCAUUAGGAAGGGUUGAGAAAUUUCUAGCGAUUUUAGAGGAUAAUGCUGGUUGAUGCUUCAGUUGUUUUAGUAUUUCCAAAACAGCUAGAAGAGAUAGAGUGCAUCCUAGAGACAUUUGUAUCAGACUGAAUUGAUGGAAGGAUUGAAUGUCAUUAAAACAUCUCAAUAGGCCCUGCACGUCAAUUUGUAUGUUCAGCUUAUCCUAGAGACAUUUGUAUCAGACUAUGAAUUGAAUUGGCUCUAAUGAUCCUAGCUUUCUUUCACUGUUUGGAUUUUUAGAAAUUAAUGCUAGAUGGCAUGUAUUUUAGAUUUGAUGGGUUCCAUAUUAAUGAAGAUUAUAGAUGCAAAAACUGGAAAGGAGAAACAUGUUACAAUUUCUGUUGAUGAUGGAAUUCGACCGAACACAUCAUUGUCUGAUUUAGCAAAGCUCAAACAUGCAUUUAAGGAGGGUGGAUUUCAACAGAUUGUUGAGGUCCAUGAUUUCAACAGUCUGAUUCAAGUAACCAUUUAAGGAGGGUGCAAAAAUUACCAUCACUGAACCCAGACCUGGAGCAACAGAGACUGCGAUUAUAAUAUUUGGAACACCUGAGCAGACACAUGCUGCACAGAUCUUCUUCAAGCAUUUGUACUGAGCGAACAGGGCACUCCUUGACUUGUUGCAUUGGACUGGUAAACUUCGAAAUUCUGCUGCAUCUGACCUGUCUUUGAGUAUAUAUUCAGCUAGAAAGAAACAGUAUGAUUUGCUCCUUGUUAGCCGCUGAUGGAAUCACUAGCAUCACAACUUCAUCAUCAUCAUAGCCUUGUCCCAACUAUUUGGGGUCAGCUUUAUGUAAGUCCCUACCCUAGAUUGCAUUGAAAAGCACACAAGGGAAAGGAAAUGGCUGGUUAUACACAAAGGUUUUUUUCUGUUGGAGUACUUACGUUCUAAAGGAGAGGAGAGUAGAGGGAGUAUCAAUGCUCUGAUUUGUGGAUUGAUGGAUGCUCUGAUUUGAAGUCACUUCUAAAAGGACUACAAGAAAUUGGAGUUGUGGAGUAUCAAUGCUCUGAACAGUAUACGCACAUAGCCAACGCCAAUUAAUUGGAAUGUGGCUUAGAUGACAUGAAGGCAAUCAAUUUCAAAUUGAUUUUUAAUUUUUAAUUUUUUAUUUUUUUUAACCCAUGCGUCAAUGCAUCAGAUGGAGCAAAAUGCAAUCAUGACCAUCCAUCUUCUGGUCUGUACUAUAAAUGGGCCAUGGACCAAAAGUUGUCUCAAUUGGACAACUGUAAGUAUCUGGGGAUUGCACUUUUACCCAGUUGCCUAUCAUUUUUCAUCAGUUUUUGCCUGUGACCAUUUGUUUGUAGAUCAAGAGGGUGGUGCAAUUUCUUGGGCUGAGACCCAUCGACGCUAUGCGCCACCAGAUAUAUAGAUGUUUUGUAUCUUCUAUGCACCACAUGCAUAGCGGUGGAAUCUAAAAUAUCUUUUUCAUAUUUUCUUUUUUUAAUACGAAAAUAAUGCUUACGGCUUUUUUGUUAAAUCUAAAGUUUGAAAUUUGAAUUUAAAGUAUGAAAACCUAUUUGGUAACUACCCAAAAGAGAUGCUAAAGUCUAAACAUUAAGUAUUGAAUUUGAAACAAUCUGUUUAUUAACAAAUGUCUGAAAUAUAUUAAUUUGAUACAUUUGCUAAUUCUCUAACUGUGGACCCACUAUAAUUUAUUUUCUUUACAUUCACACUGUUAAUCCAUUUUGACAACUCAUUUUAUGGCAUGACCCCAAAAAUCAAGUAGACCUAAAUCUUAGGUGGACUAAACCACAUGAAAUAGUGGUGAUUAACCAUUAAAAACUUCUCACGGGCCAU